RNAcentral lists this ribosomal RNA (500 nucleotides) under uncultured bacterium. RNAcentral describes it as "partial 16S ribosomal RNA". It matches the Rfam family "Bacterial small subunit ribosomal RNA", at positions 30 to 523 of the family's 1533-position model. The record is from RNAcentral.
AUUGAACGCUGGCGGCAGGCUUAACAUAUGCAAGUCGAGCGGAUGACGGGAGCUUGCUCCUUGAUUCAGCGGCGGACGGGUGAGUAAUGCCUAGGAAUCUGCCUGGUAGUGGGGGACAACGUUUCGAAAGGAACGCUAAUACCGCAUACGUCCUACGGGAGAAAGCAGGGGACCUUCGGGCCUUGCGCUAUCAGAUGAGCAUAGGUCGGAUUAGCUAGUAGGUUUGGUAAUGGCGCACCUAGGCGACGAUCCGUAACUGGUCUGAGAGGAUGAUCAGUCACACUGGAACUGAGACACGGUCCAGACUCCUACGGGAGGCAGCAGUGGGGAAUAUUGGACAAUGGGCGAAAGCCUGAUCCAGCCAUGCCGCGUGUGUGAAGAAGGUCUUCGGAUUGUAAAGCACUUUAAGUUGGGAGGAAGGGCAGUAAGUUAAUACCUUGCUGUUUUGACGUUACCGACAGAAUAAGCACCGGCUAACUCUGUGCCAGCAGCCGCAGUAA